This 783-nucleotide ribosomal RNA is filed under the name uncultured bacterium. RNAcentral's name for it is "bacterial SSU rRNA". It matches the Rfam family "Bacterial small subunit ribosomal RNA", at positions 100 to 896 of the family's 1533-position model. The record is from RNAcentral.
GAACGGGUGAGUAACACGUGGGUGAUCUGCCCUGCACUUUGGGAUAAGCCUGGGAAACUGGGUCUAAUGCCGAAUAGGACCACGCGCUUCAUGGUGUGUGGUGGAAAGCUUUUGCGGUGUGGGAUGGGCCCGCGGCCUAUCAGCUUGUUGGUGGGGUAAUGGCCUACCAAGGCGACGACGGGUAGCCGGCCUGAGAGGGUGACCGGCCACACUGGGACUGAGAUACGGCCCAGACUCCUACGGGAGGCAGCAGUGGGGAAUAUUGCACAAUGGGCGCAAGCCUGAUGCAGCGACGCCGCGUGAGGGAUGACGGCCUUCGGGUUGUAAACCUCUUUCAAUAGGGACGAAGCGCAAGUGACGGUACCUAUAGAAGAAGCACCGGCCAACUACGUGCCAGCAGCCGCGGUAAUACGUAGGGUGCGAGCGUUGUCCGGAAUUACUGGGCGUAAAGAGCUCGUAGGUGGUUUGUCGCGUUGUUCGUGAAAACUCACAGCUUAACUGUGGGCGUGCGGGCGAUACGGGCAGACUAGAGUACUGCAGGGGAGACUGGAAUUCCUGGUGUAGCGGUGGAAUGCGCAGAUAUCAGGAGGAACACCGGUGGCGAAGGCGGGUCUCUGGGCAGUAACUGACGCUGAGGAGCGAAAGCGUGGGGAGCGAACAGGAUUAGAUACCCUGGUAGUCCACGCCGUANACGGUGGGUACUAGGUGUGGGUUCCUUCCUUGGGAUCCGUGCCGUAGCUAACGCAUUAAGUACCCCGCNNNGGGAGUACGGCCGNCAGGCUA